GACGAACGCUGGCGGCGUGCCUAAUACAUGCAAGUAGAACGCACAGUUUAUACCGUAGCUUGCUACACCAUAGACUGUGAGUUGCGAACGGGUGAGUAACGCGUAGGUAACCUGCCUGGUAGCGGGGGAUAACUAUUGGAAACGAUAGCUAAUACCGCAUAAUAUUAAUUAUUGCAUGAUAAUUAAUUGAAAGGUGCAAUUGCACCACUACCAGAUGGACCUGCGUUGUAUUAGCUAGUAGGUGAGGUAACGGCUCACCUAGGCGACGAUACAUAGCCGACCUGAGAGGGUGAUCGGCCACACUGGGACUGAGACACGGCCCAGACUCCUACGGGAGGCAGCAGUAGGGAAUCUUCGGCAAUGGACGAAAGUCUGACCGAGCAACGCCGCGGGAGGGAAGAAGGGUUUCGGAUCGUAAAGCUCUGUUGUAAGAGAAGAACGGGUGUGAGAGUGGAAAGUUCACACUGUGACGGUAUCUUACCAGAAAGGGACGGCUAGCUACGUG
This 505-nucleotide ribosomal RNA is filed under the name uncultured bacterium. RNAcentral's name for it is "partial 16S ribosomal RNA". It matches the Rfam family "Bacterial small subunit ribosomal RNA", at positions 28 to 507 of the family's 1533-position model. The record is from RNAcentral.